Molecule: ribosomal RNA, 674 nt
Filed under: uncultured bacterium
Lineage: Bacteria
Description: bacterial SSU rRNA
Rfam family: Bacterial small subunit ribosomal RNA
Source: RNAcentral
CUUGCUUCUCUUGAGAGCGGCGGACGGGUGAGUAAUGCCUAGGAAUCUGCCUGGUAGUGGGGGAUAACGUUCGGAAACGGACGCUAAUACCGCAUACGUCCUACGGGAGAAAGCAGGGGACCUUCGGGCCUUGCGCUAUCAGAUGAGCCUAGGUCGGAUUAGCUAGUUGGUGGGGUAAUGGCUCACCAAGGCGACGAUCCGUAACUGGUCUGAGAGGAUGAUCAGUCACACUGGAACUGAGACACGGUCCAGACUCCUACGGGAGGCAGCAGUGGGGAAUAUUGGACAAUGGGCGAAAGCCUGAUCCAGCCAUGCCGCGUGUGUGAAGAAGGUCUUCGGAUUGUAAAGCACUUUAAGUUGGGAGGAAGGGUUGUAGAUUAAUACUCUGCAAUUUUGACGUUACCGACAGAAUAAGCACCGGCUAACUCUGUGCCAGCAGCCGCGGUAAUACAGAGGGUGCAAGCGUUAAUCGGAAUUACUGGGCGUAAAGCGCGCGUAGGUGGUUUGUUAAGUUGGAUGUGAAAUCCCCGGGCUCAACCUGGGAACUGCAUUCAAAACUGACUGACUAGAGUAUGGUAGAGGGUGGUGGAAUUUCCUGUGUAGCGGUGAAAUGCGUAGAUAUAGGAAGGAACACCAGUGGCGAAAGCGACCACCUGGACUAAUACUGACACUGA